UACAGAGGGUGCGAGCGUUGUUCGGAAUUAUUGGGCGUAAAGGGCGCGUAGGCGGUGCGGUAAGUCACCUGUGAAAUCUCCUGGCUCAACUGGGAGCUUGCAGGCGAAACUGCCGUGCUGGAGUGUGGGAGAGGUGCGUGGAAUUCCUGGUGUAGCGGUGAAAUGCGUAGAUAUCGGGAGGAACACCUGCGGUGUAGACGGCUUUCUGGACCAUUGUUGACGCUGAGACACGAAAGCGUGGGUAGCAAACAGG
Molecule: ribosomal RNA, 253 nt
Filed under: uncultured bacterium
Lineage: Bacteria
Description: partial 16S ribosomal RNA
Rfam family: Bacterial small subunit ribosomal RNA
Source: RNAcentral